This 85-nucleotide transfer RNA is filed under the name Felis catus (domestic cat). It matches the Rfam family "tRNA". From Rfam's summary of the family: Transfer RNA (tRNA) molecules are approximately 80 nucleotides in length. Their secondary structure includes four short double-helical elements and three loops (D, anti-codon, and T loops). The record is from Rfam by way of RNAcentral. Lineage: Eukaryota; Metazoa; Chordata; Mammalia; Carnivora; Felidae.
ACCUGGGUGGCUCAGUCGAUUGAGCGUCCGAUUUCGGCUCAGGUCAUGAUCUCACGGUUCGUGGGUUUGAGCCCCGCCUCAGGCU